Molecule: ribosomal RNA, 725 nt
Filed under: uncultured Bacillus sp.
Lineage: Bacteria; Bacillati; Bacillota; Bacilli; Caryophanales; Bacillaceae
Description: bacterial SSU rRNA
Rfam family: Bacterial small subunit ribosomal RNA
Source: RNAcentral
GGAUUAGAUACCCUGGUAGUCCACGCCGUAAACGAUGGGUGCUAGGUGUUAGGGGUUUCGAUGCCCGUAGUGCCGAAGUUAACACAUUAAGCACUCCGCCUGGGGAGUACGGCCGCAAGGCUGAAACUCAAAGGAAUUGACGGGGGCCCGCACAAGCAGUGGAGCAUGUGGUUUAAUUCGAAGCAACGCGAAGAACCUUACCAGGUCUUGACAUCCUUUGACCACUCUGGAGACAGAGCUUCCCCUUCGGGGGCAAAGUGACAGGUGGUGCAUGGUUGUCGUCAGCUCGUGUCGUGAGAUGUUGGGUUAAGUCCCGCAACGAGCGCAACCCUUGACCUUAGUUGCCAGCAUUUAGUUGGGCACUCUAAGGUGACUGCCGGUGACAAACCGGAGGAAGGUGGGGAUGACGUCAAAUCAUCAUGCCCCUUAUGACCUGGGCUACACACGUGCUACAAUGGAUGGUACAAAGGGUUGCGAAGCCGCGAGGUGAAGCCAAUCCCAUAAAGCCAUUCUCAGUUCGGAUUGUAGGCUGCAACUCGCCUGCAUGAAGCUGGAAUUGCUAGUAAUCGCGGAUCAGCAUGCCGCGGUGAAUACGUUCCCGGGCCUUGUACACACCGCCCGUCACACCACGAGAGUUUGUAACACCCGAAGUCGGUGAGGUAACCUUUUGGAGCCAGCCGCCGAAGGUGGGACAGAUGAUUGGGGUGAAGUCGUAACAAGGUAGC